Molecule: ribosomal RNA, 460 nt
Filed under: uncultured bacterium
Lineage: Bacteria
Description: partial 16S ribosomal RNA
Rfam family: Bacterial small subunit ribosomal RNA
Source: RNAcentral
CCUACGGGAGGCAGCAGUGAGGAAUAUUGGUCAAUGGGCGCUAGCCUGAACCAGCCAAGUAGCGUGAAGGAUGACUGCCCUAUGGGUUGUAAACUUCUUUUAUAUGGGAAUAAAGUGCAGUAUGUAUACUGCUUUGCAUGUACCUUAUGAAUAAGGAUCGGCUAACUCCGUGCCAGCAGCCGCGGUAAUACGGAGGAUCCGAGGGUUAUCCGGAUUUAUUGGGUUUAAAGGGAGCGUAGGCGGGUUGUUAAGUCAGUUGUGAAAGUUUGCGGCUCAACCGUAAAAUUGCAUUUGAUACUGGCAGCCUUGAGUACAGUAGAGGUAGGCGGAAUGCGUGGUGUAGCGGUGAAAUGCUUAGAUAUCACGAAGAACUCCGAUUGCGAAGGCAGCCUGCUGGACUGUAACUGACGCUGAUGCUCGAAAGUGUGGGUAUCAAACAGGAUUAGAUACCCUUGUAGUC